RNAcentral lists this ribosomal RNA (252 nucleotides) under uncultured bacterium. Its description in RNAcentral is "partial 16S ribosomal RNA". It matches the Rfam family "Bacterial small subunit ribosomal RNA", at positions 524 to 776 of the family's 1533-position model. The record is from RNAcentral.
UACGGGGGGGUAAGCGUUGUUCGGAAUUACUGGGCGUAAAGGGCUCGUAGGCGGCCAACUAAGUCAUACGUGAAAUCCCUCAGCUUAACUGGGGAACUGCGUGUGAUACUGGAUGGCUUGGAUUUGGGAGAGGGAUGCGGAAUUCCAGGUGUAGCGGUGAAAUGCGUAGAUAUCUGGAGGAACACCGGUGGCGAAGGCAGGUCUCUGGGCAUUAACUGACGCUGAGGAGCGAAAGCAUGGGGAGCGAACAGG